This 930-nucleotide ribosomal RNA is filed under the name Cortinarius sp. PDD 72685. RNAcentral's name for it is "LSU rRNA". It matches the Rfam family "Eukaryotic large subunit ribosomal RNA", at positions 37 to 953 of the family's 3401-position model. Lineage: Eukaryota; Fungi; Basidiomycota; Agaricomycetes; Agaricales; Cortinariaceae. The record is from RNAcentral.
AGCAUAUCAAUAAGCGGAGGAAAAGAAACUAACAAGGAUUCCCCUAGUAACUGCGAGUGAAGCGGGAAAAGCUCAAAUUUAAAAUCUGUCAGUCUUUGGCUGUCCGAGUUGUAAUCUAGAGAAGCGUUAUCCGCGCUGGACCGUGUACAAGUCUCCUGGAAUGGAGCGUCAUAGAGGGUGAGAAUCCCGUCUUUGACACGGACUACCAGGGCUUUGUGAUGCGCUCUCAAAGAGUCGAGUUGUUUGGGAAUGCAGCUCAAAAUGGGUGGUAAAUUCCAUCUAAAGCUAAAUAUUGGCGAGAGACCGAUAGCGAACAAGUACCGUGAGGGAAAGAUGAAAAGAACUUUGGAAAGAGAGUUAAACAGUACGUGAAAUUGCUGAAAGGGAAACGCUUGAAGUCAGUCGCGUUGUCCAGGGAUCAACCUUGCUUUUGCUUGGUGUACUUUCUGGUUGACGGGUCAGCAUCAAUUUUGACCAUUGGAAAAAUAUUAGGGGAAUGUGGCAUCUUUGGAUGUGUUAUAGCCCUUGGUUGCAUACAAUGGUUGGGAUUGAGGAACUCAGCACGCCGCAAGGCCGGGUUUUUAACCACGUACGUGCUUAGGAUGCUGGCAUAAUGGCUUUAAUCGACCCGUCUUGAAACACGGACCAAGGAGUCUAACAUGCCUGCGAGUGUUUGGGUGGAAAACCCGAGCGCGUAAUGAAAGUGAAAGUUGAGAUCCCUGUCGUGGGGAGCAUCGACGCCCGGACCAGACCUUUUGUGACGGUUCCGCGGUAGAGCAUGUAUGUUGGGACCCGAAAGAUGGUGAACUAUGCCUGAAUAGGGUGAAGCCAGAGGAAACUCUGGUGGAGGCUCGUAGCGAUUCUGACGUGCAAAUCGAUCGUCAAAUUUGGGUAUAGGGGCGAAAGACUAAUCGAACCAUCUAGUAGCUG